This 82-nucleotide microRNA precursor is filed under the name Branchiostoma floridae (Florida lancelet). RNAcentral describes it as "microRNA bfl-mir-2068 precursor". The stretch from base 1 to 68 matches the Rfam family "mir-2068 microRNA precursor family". Lineage: Eukaryota; Metazoa; Chordata; Leptocardii; Amphioxiformes; Branchiostomatidae. The record is from miRBase by way of RNAcentral.
GUUCUUCUUCCUAUGCACAUCUGUCCUUGUAAGCUGGAGGAGGACAUGUGUGCAUAGGGAAGAGAUCAGCUAGCCAAAUCUG